This 76-nucleotide transfer RNA is filed under the name Staphylococcus aureus. Its description in RNAcentral is "tRNA-Ala". It matches the Rfam family "tRNA". Rfam says of the family: Transfer RNA (tRNA) molecules are approximately 80 nucleotides in length. The record is from RNAcentral. Lineage: Bacteria; Bacillati; Bacillota; Bacilli; Caryophanales; Staphylococcaceae.
GGGGACUUAGCUCAGCUGGGAGAGCGCCUGCUUUGCACGCAGGAGGUCAGCGGUUCGAUCCCGCUAGUCUCCACCA